Molecule: transfer RNA, 64 nt
Filed under: Cavia porcellus (domestic guinea pig)
Lineage: Eukaryota; Metazoa; Chordata; Mammalia; Rodentia; Caviidae
Rfam family: tRNA
About the family: Transfer RNA (tRNA) molecules are approximately 80 nucleotides in length. Their secondary structure includes four short double-helical elements and three loops (D, anti-codon, and T loops).
Source: Rfam by way of RNAcentral
GGGGGUUUAGCUCAGUGGCAUAAGCACCUGCCUUGCAAGCAGGCGGUUGUGAGUUUGACCCCCG